Long non-coding RNA from Neltuma alba, 793 nucleotides. RefSeq lists it as uncharacterized. The transcript has 3 exons. The record is from RefSeq and is a predicted model, not a curated record. Lineage: Eukaryota; Viridiplantae; Streptophyta; Magnoliopsida; Fabales; Fabaceae.
UCCCGGUAAACAGAAACACAUGUUCUUUGAUUCCCUUUUGUUUCAAGAGGGAAGAAGAGAUUCAUUGUAAAGUUGAUUGAAUUAUUAUAAGAUUAUCCAUUGCUUAGAUUUUGCUGACUCGGCUCAUCUAACUAUAGUCAUGGAACAUGCUACUGGUAGAGAACUUUUUGAAAUGUGUAAUAUAGGAAGAUUCAGUGAGUACGAGGCACAUUAAUUUUGGUUUGUAAUAAUUUGAUAAUUGACAACUGAUGAUACAAACCUUCAAUCACUUUUACUUGAUAGUGUCUUUAGUUGAUGGAGGACGCCAUAGCCGGCGUGGUUGAUGAGUGAAAGGGACAAGAAGGGAAGGAAAAGCAGCACAAGGGAAAGCUUAACCGACGUUUUAAGAUUUAACGGCAGGGAUGAGGUUGCCCCAUUUUAAUUAUUUAGGUGCCCGAGCGAAUGCUGGUGGUUGUGACUCGUGCUCCUUAGUGCUCAUUUUCGUGCCUAUUGCCUUCAAGUUCGUGCUCUUCUAUCUCGCUUAUGGAGUUUCAGGUUCGGCCUUCGCAUCGAGCUUCGCUGUUGCUCGUGACCUCGUCUCCUCGCUGUCGCUAUCCUGAGUCCAGCACUGUCGUUCUCCUCAGCUAAUGUAUUCUGGUAUGAAGUAAUAUGAUCACUUUUUCUGUUGCUCUGUCUAUUCUCUGAUAGAGCUCUCCAAAUAGCCGAAUUUCCUCUCAAUUUCUGAAGCAUGGCUAGCUACCACUCAUUUCUGAUAGCCAAUGGUUAGGUCUGCUUUUGCCCUACCUCUGACAGC